AGCGAACGCUGGCGGCAGGCCUAACACAUGCAAGUCGAGCGCCCAGCAAUGGGAGCGGCAGACGGGAUAGUAACACGUGGGAACGUACCUUUCAGUUCGGAACAACCCAGGGAAACUUGGGCUAAUACCGAAUACGUCCGUAAGGAGAAAGAUUUAUCGCUGAAAGAUCGGACCCCGCGUCUGAUUAGCUAGUUGGUGAGGUAAUGGCUCACCAAAGGCGACGAUCAGUAGCGGUCUGAGAGGAUGAUCAGCAUCACUGGGACUGAGACACGGCCCAGACUCCUACGGGAGGCAGCAGUGGGGAAUAUUGGACAAUGGGCGCAAGCCUGAUCCAGCCAUGCCGCGUGGA
This 349-nucleotide ribosomal RNA is filed under the name uncultured bacterium. Its description in RNAcentral is "bacterial SSU rRNA". It matches the Rfam family "Bacterial small subunit ribosomal RNA", at positions 29 to 405 of the family's 1533-position model. The record is from RNAcentral.